Molecule: ribosomal RNA, 254 nt
Filed under: uncultured bacterium
Lineage: Bacteria
Description: partial 16S ribosomal RNA
Rfam family: Bacterial small subunit ribosomal RNA
Source: RNAcentral
UACGUAGGGUCCGGGCGUUGUCCGGAUUUAUUGGGCGUAAAGAGCUCGUAGGCGGCUCAGUAAGUCAGAUGUGAAAACUCAGGGCUCAACCCGGAGACGCCAUCUGAUACUGCUGUGGCUUGAGUCUGGUAGGGGAUCACGGAAUUCCUGGUGUAGCGGUGAAAUGCGCAGAUAUCAGGAGGAACACCGAUGGCGAAGGCAGUGAUCUGGGCCAGUACUGACGCUGAGGAGCGAAAGCGUGGGUAGCAAACAGG